CCCUUAGAUGUCCUGGGCCGCACGCGCGUUACACUGAUGCAUUCAACGAGCUUAUAACCUUGGCCGAGAGGCCUGGGCAAUCUUGUUAACGUGCAUCGUGAUAGGGAUAGAUUAUUGAAAUUAUUAAUCUUGAACGAGGAAUUCCUAGUAAACGCAGAUCAUCAAUCUGCAUUGAUUACGUCCCUGCCCUUUGUACACACCGCCCGUCGCACCUACCGAUUGGAUGUUCCGGUGAGCUCUUCGGACUGCGCGGUCUGCAGUUUCUGCGUUCCGUGCGGAAAGUUGUGCAAACCUUAACAUUUAGAGGAAGGAGAAGUCGUAACA
This 324-nucleotide ribosomal RNA is filed under the name uncultured eukaryote. Its description in RNAcentral is "partial 18S ribosomal RNA". It matches the Rfam family "Eukaryotic small subunit ribosomal RNA", at positions 1470 to 1796 of the family's 1831-position model. The record is from RNAcentral.